AUGGCUGAAGGAGGUGGAAAAAAAUUUGGUAGAAAUUACCUCACAUGGACAGAUGAAAUGGACACUACACUACUCGAGGUCCUUGUUGAGCAUCACAACAAUGGCGAUCAUGCCCAGAAUGAAUGGAAGUCCCAUGUCUAUAGUGCUGUUAUAGGUAAUGUGCGUGAGAAGUGCUCUGUGACCAUCACAAAGGAAAACAUCAGUUCAAGGUGCAAAACCUUUGAAAAGCACUACGAGGCCAUUAGCAAGAUGCUAUCUCAAAGUGGAUUUGGGUGGGAUUGGGUCAAUAACAAGCUGUCAAUUGAUAGUGAAGAUGUGUGGCUUAAAUAUGUCGCGGCUAACAAGAAAGUAGGAUUUUACAAGAACAGGGUCAUUAAGAAUUGGGAUGCUAUCACCACCAUAUACUCAAAAGAUCAUGCAAAUGGUGAAGGUGCUGUCACUGGUGCUGAAACUGUUGUAGAACCAACUACGGAACCCAAUGAAGCCUCUCCUGAAGUGCCAAAAAAAAACAACGACUUGGUGAUGCCAUCCUGUGCCUUCUUGGGGAUAUGA
RNAcentral lists this ribosomal RNA (552 nucleotides) under Triticum aestivum (bread wheat). RNAcentral's name for it is "partial small subunit ribosomal RNA". Lineage: Eukaryota; Viridiplantae; Streptophyta; Magnoliopsida; Poales; Poaceae. The record is from RNAcentral.